This 1252-nucleotide long non-coding RNA is filed under the name Gallus gallus (chicken). RNAcentral describes it as "lncRNA (ENSGALG00010007138.1)". Lineage: Eukaryota; Metazoa; Chordata; Aves; Galliformes; Phasianidae. The record is from RNAcentral.
CCAAGACCGGCCAUGUUGCUGCUGCUCUUCCCCUGCAAUUUUGCCCCGGACCGUCAGAACGUCGUGCAACGGGACUGCUGCCAGAUCCUGGUGCUUUUUGACUUCUGAUGACUUCAGUUCAAGUCCCAGUUGGGCUCCUGAUCAGCAGGGUAGCUGAUUUCCCAAUGAAGAAAGAGAGGAAAUGUGUAAACUUGUUGAAGUGCUCCACAAGCUCCAGCUUGCAAACCUCGCAGAGGCUGCAGUCCAUCCAGUGCUCAGACUCUCACCUAAUACAACAUACUGUAAGUUGUGAAGAAAUGUGUUUAAGUAUAAAUAGUCUCUACUGGCUUCAGGAAGUAAAACUGUUCCCUUAGUUUAGUCAACAUAUUGCUUGCUGGGGAAGCCGAGAGGCCAAUUUCCUAAGCUCACCAGUGAUUUCCCCCUGUAAAAUGGAAGUUAGCAAUAAUUGUGUGUAUAAUAUUGUCUAUUAGGUAGUGCAUAAAGGCUUGCAUUGUAUGUACAUACUGUAGUUGUAUAGAAAACAUUACAGAGUGAGCCUGCUUUUAGCUUGAUGCCUCAUACAGUGGUAAUUGAGGAGAACAGCCUUUUGAUUUGCUACUAUUUGCAGUUCUGCAGGAAAAACUAAGUUUAGGCUAUCUUGUGCUGUGCAUUGUUGCCCUGUUUAAUCUUCUGAUUCGCUAGGAACAAUUACAUGCGACACCUAUGGAGAAUUUAAUUGCUUAGCUCCUGCCUCUAUGGCAAUUGUAAUUACUGUGCAGUACUAUUUGAAAAAAAAAAACUGUGGUGUUUUUUAGAACAUAGCACUGAAUAAUACCAAGGUUAGAUUCAUACAACAGCAUAGCUCCAAGAAUUAGCUUCCAGAAUUAACCCUGUGUUCUUUUGAUGAGAGCCCAGGCAAAAUAAAGCAACGGUUAUUGUAAAUAUCCUCAUGUAAAGAUUUCUAUACACACUCUUCAAAUGCAUUUAUCCACCAAAUAUAUGUGGGAGUUAGCACAGCAUCUUUUUUCCCCCUCCUUUUCCAGCUGAGGAAACUAAGGCACAGAAAUGUGCUGCCUAAUUUGUCUUUAUGAAAAAUCCAAAGAAGGGAAAAUUAGUAUGUGAAAAAUUUUGAAUUUAUAGCAUUUUCAAGCUCUUUUUACUUCUCAUGGAUGUAGCUUUGAAAGAAACAUAAUAGGCAAAAGAUGUGCCUUUUUAAGCUUUAAAACCCUAAAAAUUUCUGUAAAAUGGAACAUAAUAAAUAAAUGAAUAAAUG